ACUUAAAUAGUUUAAGAAAAAUGCUGAUUUGUGGCGUCAGAGUUAUAGUGUAUAUUUUAAGUU
RNAcentral lists this transfer RNA (63 nucleotides) under Bostrichoidea sp. 9 KM-2017. RNAcentral describes it as "tRNA-His". Lineage: Eukaryota; Metazoa; Arthropoda; Insecta; Coleoptera. The record is from RNAcentral.